This 429-nucleotide unclassified non-coding RNA is filed under the name Hevea brasiliensis (rubber tree). Lineage: Eukaryota; Viridiplantae; Streptophyta; Magnoliopsida; Malpighiales; Euphorbiaceae. The record is from RNAcentral.
GACAAUAGAAGUUUGACAUCCAACCUUUGCUGUGUUGAACGCUACAUUUUUGCAGUCUGGCAAAAUGCUAACAGACCAUGCUGGCAAGUGGUAUGAUACAUGUCGGAACUGUACCACCUUGUCAUUUUUGUCAUCCAUAUUCGCGAGAAAGGCAGCACAAGCGCCUGAAGCAUCUUCAUAAACAUCAGCCUCUUGUAGAGGACCUAAUGAAAGAAGAGUUGGAUCAUUGUUCAGCAGAGCAUGCUCACACGAUUUUAUGACUUUAUGAAGUUCUUUAAGGUGACCCCAUUUUGGAAACCUUGGUAAACCAUAUUCGUCAAUUGGGGCAUCAUAGUCAUAACUUGUGGUAAUGAAAGGGCCACCUGCUGUCCUGCCAAAGUUCGUCCCACCAUGGUACAUGUAAUAAUUCUGCACGCUUCCUCCUUUUUG